UACGUAGGGGGCAAGCGUUGUCCGGAAUCACUGGGCGUAAAGCGCGCGCAGGCGGCGAUCUACGUCCGGGGUGAAAGCCCAGGGCUCAACCCUGGAAUUGCCUUUAAGACUGCAUCGCUUGAACAUCGGAGAGGUAAGUGGAAUUCCGAGUGUAGAGGUGAAAUUCGUAGAUAUUCGGAAGAACACCAGUGGCGAAGGCGACUUACUGGACGAUUGUUGACGCUGAGGUGCGAAAGCGUGGGGAGCAAACAGG
RNAcentral lists this ribosomal RNA (253 nucleotides) under uncultured bacterium. RNAcentral describes it as "partial 16S ribosomal RNA". It matches the Rfam family "Bacterial small subunit ribosomal RNA", at positions 524 to 776 of the family's 1533-position model. The record is from RNAcentral.